Long non-coding RNA from Gopherus flavomarginatus (Mexican gopher tortoise), 1042 nucleotides. RefSeq lists it as uncharacterized. The record is from RefSeq and is a predicted model, not a curated record. The transcript is spliced from 3 exons. NCBI's taxonomy places the organism in Eukaryota, Metazoa, Chordata, Testudines, Testudinidae.
GGCCGGGAGGAAAAACGGGGCAAGUGUGUGUGAGGGGUCCUGGCCAGUCUGCGUCCUGCUAGAUCUCGCCGAGGGCAGGCGGGCGGCGGAGUGAGACGGCGUGCGCCAAUGGGUAGGGAGGAGAACGGCCGAAGGGUCUGAUCCUGCAAGAGGCUGAAAUUAAUGAGACUAGAGGGGACCUGUGAGGAUUGGCUCUGGCAAGAUCUGAUCUUGCCAUUGGAUCUGCUCUGAAACAUGGAUCCCAAAGCGCUGAAUCUUGCAGGAUUCCUCCCCCUCCCACAUCUUGUUGAAGAUUGGGUACCUUAAUUAGGACUAAUUCCAAAGAGAUUGUGGGUUUAAUGACUGUGCAAUAAGCUUAAAGAAAAGUGGUGCUGGUAUCUCAUUUGCCAGACAGAUCGGGACCAAGAAUCUUGGACAAUCAGCACACACAGCACUGGGGAGGGGCUGGCAGGAUAGUGAGAUAUGGGCUCACUCAGGCUCUGCUCUCUGAAAGGGACAUGGAAGGACAGUCUCCUUCCCUCACUUAGGUAAAUAACCAUCUCAAAACAUUUUAAAAAUAAACAUUUGUAGGAAGUAGAUUGUGUGGGGCUGCUAAGGUUUCAGAGAGAUGUGUGUCUCUGUCGAGGCAAUGCACACCUUGGAAUAAGAUGAGGCCCAUGUAUGUAACUAAACAAAAUCACCACAAAACUAGAGUCAAAGAUAUUUAUUAGGGCAAUUCAAGUUCAUGCUCCUUUUGAAAUACAAAGCACCAGAGUUUAGAUAACUGAACAUCAUCCAAAUAUCAUCCAGUUGAAGCUGCUGAGCUGUGUACAGACAUGUAUUCAUUACCUAUCACAGUGCCAGAUCAUAUUCGCUAGAAGUAUUGUGAAGAAACAAAAAUACAUUGGCGCAGCGGCUGCUAAGAGGCAAACUAUCUUAUUUCUGAGGUCUUGGCAAGAUGCCUUUAUAACACUUACCUUUCCCAUUAGAGACCUCAGAAGAAUAGUAUAAUACAGUUCCUCUCACUACCAGUACAUUACACGUCUAGGAUAUUUUAUGGCAU